CAUGUCUUUUCUCCUCUUUGUAUCAUUGUAUUGGCUCGGGGUGAGUGUUCUAAACAGGAAGGUCUUAGUGUCAUUGUAUUGGCUCGGGGUGAGGGUUCUAAACAGGAAGGUCUUUGUAUGGAUUGUAUUGGCUUGGGGUGAGGGUUCUAAACAGGAAGGUCAUUGUAUUGGCUCGGGGUGAGGGUUCUAAGCAGGAAGGUCUUUGUGUCAUUGUAUUGGCUCGGGGUGAGGGUUCUAAACAGGAAGGUCUUAGUGUCAUUGUAUUGGCUCGGGGUGAGUGUUCUAAACAGGAAGGUCUUAGUAUCAUUGUAUUGGCUCGGGGUGAGGGUUCUAAGCAGGAAGGUCUUUGUAUCAUUGUAUUGGCUCGGGGUGAGGGUUCUAAACAGGAAGGUCUUUGUGUCAUUGUAUUGGCUUGGGGUGAGGGUUCUAAACAGGAAGGUCUUAGUAUCAUUGUAUUGGCUCGGGGUGAGGGUUCUAAGCAGGAAGGUCUUUGUAUCAUUGUAUUGGCUCGGGGUGAGGGUUCUAAACAGGAAGGUCUUUGUGUCAUUGUAUUGGCUUGGGGUGAGUGUUCUAAACAGGAAGGUCUUUGUAUCAUUGUAUUGGCUCGGGGUGAGGGUUCUAAACAGGAAGGUCUUUGUGUCAUUGUAUUGGCUUGGGGUGAGGGUUCUAAACAGGAAGGUCUUUGUAUCAUUGUAUUGGCUCGGGGUGAGUGUUCUAAACAGGAAGGUCUUAGUGUCAUUGUAUUGGCUCGGGGUGAGGGUUCUAAACAGGAAG
Molecule: long non-coding RNA, 774 nt
Filed under: Salmo salar (Atlantic salmon)
Lineage: Eukaryota; Metazoa; Chordata; Actinopteri; Salmoniformes; Salmonidae
Description: lncRNA (ENSSSAG00000098145.1)
Source: RNAcentral